GAGGACGUAGCUCAGCCCGGUAGAGCAGCGGACUUUUAAUCCGUCGGUCGUGGGUUCGAAUCCCACCGUCCUCA
RNAcentral lists this transfer RNA (74 nucleotides) under Pseudomonadota bacterium. RNAcentral's name for it is "tRNA-Lys". It matches the Rfam family "tRNA". Rfam says of the family: Transfer RNA (tRNA) molecules are approximately 80 nucleotides in length. Their secondary structure includes four short double-helical elements and three loops (D, anti-codon, and T loops). Further hydrogen bonds mediate the characteristic L-shaped molecular structure. tRNAs have two regions of fundamental functional importance: the anti-codon, which is responsible for specific mRNA codon recognition, and the 3' end, to which the tRNAs corresponding amino acid is attached (by aminoacyl-tRNA synthetases). tRNAs cope with the degeneracy of the genetic code in two manners: having more than one tRNA (with a specific anti-codon) for a particular amino acid; and 'wobble' base-pairing, i.e. permitting non-standard base-pairing at the 3rd anti-codon position. Lineage: Bacteria; Pseudomonadati; Pseudomonadota. The record is from RNAcentral. RNAcentral also lists the same sequence under 1 other name.